GGAAGGUACCUGACCUCCAGCAGCUCUCUCGAGGUCCUUCGAGAAGAGUCCCAGAGGAGAAGAGCAUGCCAGGACAGUUUUGGAAUUUGCCUACCUGGGAGCUGGAUUGAGCUCAUUGGUCCAUUCUCUAAUCCCAAGCUCCCUUUCAGUCAAUCGGGAAGCCUCCUGAAGUUCCAGGAGUGUGUUGGCUCUUCCAUCUUCAGGAACUGAGCUCACGCAGCAUCUUCCUCGCUUCCUCAACAAAGGGAAAAAAAGGAAAUAGACAAAGGACUCUUCAUUACACACUAGGAGAAGAUGUAAGGAAGAAAGGAGGAGAGAGAAAGAGAAAGAAAGAAGAGAGAGGUGAGAGAAAGAGAAAAAGAGAAGUAGAUGAGAAGAGGGAGGGAAGAAGAGGGAGAGAGAGACAGAGGGGGGGAAGAGAGGGGGGAAGAGGAGAGAGAGAGAGAGAGAGAGAGAGAGAGAGAGAGAGAGAGAGAGAGNNNNNNNNNNGAGAGAGAGAGAGAGAGAGAGAGAGAGAGAGAGA
This 523-nucleotide long non-coding RNA is filed under the name Vombatus ursinus (common wombat). RNAcentral's name for it is "lncRNA (ENSVURG00010017971.1)". The record is from RNAcentral. Lineage: Eukaryota; Metazoa; Chordata; Mammalia; Diprotodontia; Vombatidae.